This 207-nucleotide ribosomal RNA is filed under the name uncultured bacterium. RNAcentral describes it as "partial 16S ribosomal RNA". It matches the Rfam family "Bacterial small subunit ribosomal RNA", at positions 568 to 774 of the family's 1533-position model. The record is from RNAcentral.
UCCGCAGGUGGCUAGAUUAGUUUUUGGUUAAAUACCACGGCUCAACCGGGGAAAAGCCAAAAAUACUGUCUAGCUAGAGGAUGGGAGAGGUAAGCGGAACUGCCGGUGUAGCGGUAAAAUGCGUUAAUAUCGGCAGGAACACCAAAGGCGAAGGCGGCUUACUGGAACAUACCUGACACUCAUGGACGAAAGCGUGGGGAGCAAAAG